UCGUGUGACUCUCUCUCUCUCUCUCUUUCCCCCCCUCUCUUUCUCUCUCUUACCUCUACUCUCCUCCUUUCGUGCCAUCUCUCUCGUUUUGUCUCCAUCGCCUUCGGGUACUGGAGCAUCGUAGCCAUCGCACAUAAGCACCACCGUCGCACAUGAGUACCACAGUUGAUCCACCGUUAGAGCAUUACUCCAUGUAUGUCCUCUCUAGUUUGCCCUCUAUUUGUCUCUCUUCCCUUAAUUUCAUCCUCUAGGGUUUUCGAUAAUGUUGCUAUUUGGAUAAAGAGAAAGAAACAGAGAGGACAGAGAGAGAAAGAGAGAGGCUAGCAGAGAGCAGAAGACGAAACGACAAUGGCUUCUUUGAUCAAUAGGUCUUUGACUUUUAUUUACAACUCCAAAUCAACGAUGUGCAUCGAAACUCAAUUUUCGAGUCCGUUUCACAUUGGGUUCAUUUCUCUGAGCCUCAUCAAUUUCGGGAAGGUCUCUUCUUUAGUAGUCUGCAAAGUUGUGUCUGUGAAGCCCCAAACUGACAUUGAAGGCCUCAACAUUGCCGAUGAUGUCUCUUAGGUGACAGCUUAUUGGGAAAACUCCAAUGGUGUAUUUGAAUAAUACUGUAAAGGGGUCUGUUGCAAACAUAGCUGCCAAGCUUGAGAUCAUGAAGCCAUGUUGCAGUGUCAAGGACAGGAUUGGACACAGUAUGAUAAUCGAUGCUGAGCAGAGAGGCCUUAUAACACCAGGGAAGACAAGAGAGCUGUGGGUUUUUUUGAUUUUCUUCUACAAUGGGGUGAUCAGUGUUACUCCUUUCAAUUUUUGUUGCUGUGGCUUUGUUAAGUGUUUUUGUUGUGAAAGCAGAGAAUGCUUAUAGAUACUUCACAUGGACUGUCACUUAUGGAACAGCUUCUCCUCUCGCUGUCGCUCAACAGGUUAUCCUUAUCAAUGGUCAAUUUUUUUAACUCGACAACCCUUUUCUCUUGACAUGGCAA
This is a non-coding RNA of Camellia sinensis, 980 nucleotides long. Lineage: Eukaryota; Viridiplantae; Streptophyta; Magnoliopsida; Ericales; Theaceae. The record is from RefSeq and is a predicted model, not a curated record.